CGACGAUGAAGCCCAGCUUGCUGGGUGGAUUAGUGGCGAACGGGUGAGUAACACGUGAGUAACCUGCCCUUGACUCUAGGAUAAGCCCGGGAAACUGGGUCUAAUACUGGAUAGGAACGUCUACCGCAUGGUGGAUGUUGGAAAGAAUUUCGGUCAUGGAUGGACUCGCGGCCUAUCAGCUUGUUGGUGAGGUAAUGGCUCACCAAGGCGACGACGGGUAGCCGGCCUGAGAGGGUGACCGGCCACACUGGGACUGAGACACGGCCCAGACUCCUACGGGAGGCAGCAGUGGGGAAUAUUGCACAAUGGGCGAAAGCCUGAUGCAGCGACGCCGCGUGAGGGAUGACGGCCUUCGGGUUGUAAACCUCUUUCAGUAGGGAAGAAGCGAAAGUGACGGUACCUGCAGAAGAAGCACCGGCUAACUACGUGCCAGCAGCCGCGGUAAUACGUAGGGUGCGAGCGUUAUCCGGAAUUAUUGGGCGUAAAGAGCUCGUAGGCGGUUUGUCGCGUCUGUCGUGAAAGUCCGGGGCUUAACCCCGGAUCUGCGGUGGGUACGGGCAGACUAGAGUGCAGUAGGGGAGACUGGAAUUCCUGGUGUAGCGGUGGAAUGCGCAGAUAUCAGGAGGAACACCGAUGGCGAAGGCAGGUCUCUGGGCUGUAACUGACGCUGAGGAGCGAAAGCAUGGGGAGCGAACAGGAUUAGAUACCCUGG
This 712-nucleotide ribosomal RNA is filed under the name Micrococcus sp. Its description in RNAcentral is "bacterial SSU rRNA". It matches the Rfam family "Bacterial small subunit ribosomal RNA", at positions 64 to 790 of the family's 1533-position model. The record is from RNAcentral. Lineage: Bacteria; Bacillati; Actinomycetota; Actinomycetes; Micrococcales; Micrococcaceae.